RNAcentral lists this ribosomal RNA (220 nucleotides) under uncultured bacterium. RNAcentral describes it as "partial 16S ribosomal RNA". It matches the Rfam family "Bacterial small subunit ribosomal RNA", at positions 57 to 305 of the family's 1533-position model. The record is from RNAcentral.
GCAAGUCGAGCGCCACCUUCGGGUGGAGCGGCGGACGGGUUAGUAACGCGUGGGAACGUACCCUUUUCUAAGGAAUAGCCUCGGGAAACUGAGAGUAAUACCUUAUACGCCCUUCGGGGGAAAGAUUUAUCGGAGAAGGAUCGGCCCGCGUUAGAUUAGUUAGUUGGUGGGGUAAUGGCCUACCAAGACUACGAUCUAUAGCUGGUUUGAGAGGAUGAUC